GAAAUGCGAUAAGUAAUGUGAAUUGCAGAAUUCAGUGAAUCAUCGAAUCUUUGAACGCACACUGCGCCCGCCAGUAUUCUGGCGGGCAUGCCUGUUCGAGCGUCAUUACAACCCUCAGGCCCCCGGGCCUGGCGUUGGGGAUCGGCGGAAGCCCCCUGCGGGCACAACGCCGUCCCCCAAAUACAGUGGCGGUCCCGCCGCAGCUUCCAUUGCGUAGUAGCUAACACCUCGCAACUGGAGAGCGGCGCGGCCACGCCGUAAAACACCCAACUUCUGAAUGUUGACCUCGAAUCAGGUAGGAAUACCCGCUGAACUUAAGC
RNAcentral lists this unclassified non-coding RNA (320 nucleotides) under plant metagenome. Its description in RNAcentral is "partial contains 5.8S ribosomal RNA, internal transcribed spacer 2, and large subunit ribosomal RNA". The stretch from base 1 to 105 matches the Rfam family "5.8S ribosomal RNA", at positions 50 to 154 of the family's 154-position model. The record is from RNAcentral.